GAGGGUAUAGCUCAAGUGGUAGAGCACAUGCCUUGUAUGUAUGAGGUCCUGGGUUCAAUUUCCAGCACCUCCU
Molecule: transfer RNA, 73 nt
Filed under: Camelus bactrianus (Bactrian camel)
Lineage: Eukaryota; Metazoa; Chordata; Mammalia; Artiodactyla; Camelidae
Also listed under: 2 other names
Rfam family: tRNA
About the family: Transfer RNA (tRNA) molecules are approximately 80 nucleotides in length. Their secondary structure includes four short double-helical elements and three loops (D, anti-codon, and T loops).
Source: Rfam by way of RNAcentral